UAUCUUCUUCUUGUUUUCAUUUUAAACAAACUUCAUAACUCAAUUACAACACGAAACUAAGUUUACCUGUAAUUGCAGUUGUAGGCUUUCACUAAGGCCACUGCUAUCAACAUAACAACCAACUUAUGCUUAAACAUCUGUAUUUAGUUCCACUACAUUCCCUGAAACUCAUCACAGUUCUCUGUAACCUAAUACGAACUGCAUCAUAACUUCAACUUCAUUUCAUGCCAUUAGUACCAGCAAAUGUAAAUAAUAUCCUCAACUCAAACAACACAUUUACAUCAGUUCACUAACGCCGAGUACAACUCAUAUAACAUUUGUCAGCUUCAUCCACCACCAGAACAUCUUCAAAACACCCAACUCAGUUCACCAGCAACACCACUACCUUUGUAUACUUUCAUUACCAUACCACUGAUACUAAAAUAUUCUCAUUAAGCUCUUCUUUAACAACACCAUUAAAACUAUAGGAUGACCAUAACUUACAUUCAAUUCCACACAACACACCAACUUCUACAUCUCAAGCAUAUAAUCCUCAACUGUAAUUCAAUGCAUAAAUUUAAUCUGCAAUUCCAUUACAUAUUCACAUAACCAUUUCAAUCCCAUCUCAUUUAUAUAUUCAUAAAUUCAACCAUCAAACUUUCACAACUUUACCUAAAAUUACAGAGUAGAACAAUUACCUCAAUUAGAACUACUCAGAUAAUAGAAUUCAAGUUCUUCUUCACCUGACUCAAAUCAUCAACUUGUCUUCAGACUAACAACUCCCAAAUCUCUAUCAACAUCCCUGAUUCUCAGAAACCCUAUAACCAAUUCCAAAUCCUAUAUUUUCUAAUUCUGAGUUCAGAAGAUAAUUCUAACUUUUCAUACCAACCAUACCCAACCUUUAAUUUCUCCUUAAUCAACUCAACUCUAAUUUCCAAUGAAUUCAGAAACCCUAAUUCUAAUUUGGGGAAGAACAUGAGGAACUGAAAUCAAAAUUAAACCCAUGCAAACAUUACUACUUCAUACCUGAUCAAAACCCAUCUCAAAUCUCCCUUUUAAAACCAUUUUUCUGCUUAUCUUUCUUUCCUCGAUUUCUCCGUAUCGUCUUAUCCCAAAAGUCAUUCGAAGAGAAAUCAUUUUUCUCUUCUUUUCCUUCUUCCUCUGUUGUCUUCUUUCUUUCUUUCUGUCGACUUCAAUCUCAGAGAUUUGAGGUUCUUUUGUGUGAGGGAUUCAUGAAAGCUUUGUAGAUUGAUGAAUUAAAGAAGAUGGUGCUACAGAUAAAGUUGGCUGAGCACCGAGUGAAGCAAAAGUGGUGCUGCUGUGAAAUUGAUCGUUAGAGUUUAAUUUUGGAAGGAAGAAUCAAGAAAAGUAUAGUGAUAUCGAGGAGUGGAGGAUGGUGGUGAUGAUGAUUCAAUUAGUUGAUUCAGAUUUGCAAGGAAAGGUCCAGAAUUUGAUAGAAUACUGCUCCUUAAUCAAUAGAACAGCAUGGACGAGGUAGCAUGGAUCCUGAUGACUUGGGAAUUGCUGGCUAGGUUUGAGAUGAGGGUAACUAACUCCCAAGGACUGUUCAUUUUUGCCGUAUGCUGGAAGUCUGAGGCUGAGUUGCUUAGUAAAUAUCUUCAUGAUAACAACGUUUCUGCAAAGAGCUACCAUAGCGGUAUCCCAGCAAAAGAUAGGAGUCGAACUCGAGAGUUAUUUUGUCGAAUAAGAUAAGAGUGGUGUGGUCCAUGAAUCCUUAUACACUUUUUUUUCCUUUGCAGAUGUGGUCACUGCAAAAGCCUUGUUAUCACAAGUAUCUAUGAAAAGGUUGCAUCAGUAUAUAAACCUGGAAGGCGCUAUCUCCAUUUUUUUGUACAUGGUGCAGCAUUUAUAAUUUGAUGUCAUAUGCUAGUCAAUGAGAACUUUGCAUGAGAAGGUACUUCACUUAUUUGUAUUUCAGUUUUUUUUUUCUUGAAGACUUCAACUGUAAGAGUUUCUUUUUCUUUAAAACAUUUGAUAAGAUUCCCUUGGUGUGAAAUUGAGUUUACAGCAAGUUAUGUUGUAUUUGUGUGAUUCUUGUAAAUUUUAAUGGAUUUCUUACUUUGUUGU
Long non-coding RNA from Papaver somniferum (opium poppy), 2067 nucleotides. RefSeq lists it as uncharacterized. NCBI's taxonomy places the organism in Eukaryota, Viridiplantae, Streptophyta, Magnoliopsida, Ranunculales, Papaveraceae. The record is from RefSeq and is a predicted model, not a curated record. The transcript has 5 exons.